AGAGUUUGAUCAUGGCUCAGAUUGAACGCUGGCGGCAUGCUUUACACAUGCAAGUCGAGCGACAGCGCGGGGCAACCCUGGCGGCGAGCGGCGAACGGGUGAGUAAUACAUCGGAACGUGUCCCGUAGUGGGGGAUAGCUCGGCGAAAGCCGGAUUAAUACCGCAUAUGCUCUACGGAGGAAAGCGGGGGAUCCGCAAGGACCUCGCGCUAUGGGAGCGGCCGAUGUCCGAUUAGCUUGUUGGUGGGGUAACGGCCUACCAAGGCGACGAUCGGUAGCUGGUCUGAGAGGAUGAUCAGCCACACUGGGACUGAGACACGGCCCAGACUCCUACGGGAGGCAGCAGUGGGGAAUUUUGGACAAUGGGGGAAACCCUGAUCCAGCCAUGCCGCGUGAGUGAAGAAGGCCUUCGGGUUGUAAAGCUCUUUUGGUCGGAAAGAAAAGGCUACGGACAAUACCCGUGGUCCUUGACGGUACCGGCAGAAUAAGCACCGGCUAACUACGUGCCAGCAGCCGCGGUAAUACGUAGGGUGCGAGCGUUAAUCGGAAUUACUGGGCGUAAAGAGUGCGUAGGCGGUCCCGCAAGUCCGCUGUGAAAGCCCCGGGCUUAACCUGGGAAUGGCAGUGGAAACUAUGGGACUUGAAUCUGGCAGAGGGGGGUGGAAUGCCACGUGUAGCAGUGAAAUGCGUAGAGAUGUGGCGGAACACCGAUGGCGAAGGCAGCCCCCUGGGCUGAGAUUGACGCUCAGGCACGAAAGCGUGGGGAGCAAACAGGAUUAGAUACCCUAGUAGUCC
RNAcentral lists this ribosomal RNA (794 nucleotides) under uncultured bacterium. RNAcentral's name for it is "bacterial SSU rRNA". It matches the Rfam family "Bacterial small subunit ribosomal RNA", at positions 8 to 796 of the family's 1533-position model. The record is from RNAcentral.